This 250-nucleotide ribosomal RNA is filed under the name uncultured bacterium. RNAcentral describes it as "partial 16S ribosomal RNA". It matches the Rfam family "Bacterial small subunit ribosomal RNA", at positions 355 to 596 of the family's 1533-position model. The record is from RNAcentral.
UCGAGGAUAUUUCACAAUGCGCGAAAGCGUGAUGAUGCGACGCCGCGUGGAGGACGAAGGCCUUCGGGUUGUAAACUCCUGUCGUGAGGGAGCAAGUGGGUCUUGCCUAACACGCAAGGCUCUUGAUGGUACCUCAGGAGGAAGCCACGGCAAACUCUGUGCCAGCAGCCGCGGUAAUACAGAGGUGGCGAGCGUUGUUCGGAUUUACUGGGCGUAAAGGGUGCGUAGGCGGCCCCGUGUGUCGGAUGUG